UUAAAAUCUGGCGGCUUUGGUCGUCCGAGUUGUAUCCUAGAGAAGUGUUUUCCGCGUUGGACCGUGUAUAAGUCUCUUGGAACAGAGCGUCAUAGAGGGUGAGAAUCCCGUCUUUGACACGGACUACCAAUGCUUUGUGAUACACUCUCAAAGAGUCGAGUUGUUUGGGAAUGCAGCUCAAAAUGGGUGGUAAAUUCCAUCUAAAGCUAAAUAUUGGCGAGAGACCGAUAGCGAACAAGUACCGUGAGGGAAAGAUGAAAAGCACUUUGGAAAGAGAGUUAAACAGUACGUGAAAUUGCUGAAAGGGAAACGAUUGAAGUCAGUCGCGUUAGCUAGAACUCAACCAGGCUUGCUUGGCGUAUUUUCUAGUUAACGGGCCAGCAUCAGUUUUGACUGCAGGAAAAAGGCCAGGGAAAUGUGGCACCUUCGGGUGUGUUAUAGUCUUUGGUCAUAUACUGCGAUUGGGACUGAGGUUCGCAGCACGCGCAAGCUGUGCUUAGGAUACUGGCGUAAUGGCUUUAAACGACCCG
RNAcentral lists this ribosomal RNA (530 nucleotides) under Irpex laceratus. RNAcentral's name for it is "eukaryotic LSU rRNA". It matches the Rfam family "Eukaryotic large subunit ribosomal RNA", at positions 115 to 651 of the family's 3401-position model. Lineage: Eukaryota; Fungi; Basidiomycota; Agaricomycetes; Polyporales; Irpicaceae. The record is from RNAcentral.